AUAUGAAACUGGAGAUGCAAAUUGUUCACACAAAGCAACUAUAAGUGGAAUACACAACUGAUGUUUCUGAAUCUGUGCAGUGUGCGCUCACUGAACUUGUUAAAUAUGCUAACAUUUAGUCAAGGGUCAGAUUUGAACUGAUGUUUGGGCUAAGAAUCCUUCAUUGAGCUGAAUUCAUAAUCCAGUUGACACACACAUCUGCAAUGCACUGUUUUUUUUUUUGGUUUUGCUUAGGGUUGCAACUGUAAUAUUACUUAGGAAUGGAAUGAGGAGGGCGUGGAAGAUGAAUUAUGUUUGUCAUGUGGGACAACUGUUUGCCUCAAAAGGAAUACCCCAGCAGAUACAUGUGGCCUGCAUAUGGGAACACAGUCAAUAUUUUUGGACAACAUGGUUUGCUGAUUUUUUGGAAAAAAGGGAAACUGUCUCCAUCCGCAGUGAUAAGCUGAUCAUCUGGACUGUGCUUGAAAAUGGAGCAUACGAGGAUGCAUAUGUUUCCUGCAUAUUCUAAAUAAAAGUGCCUAAAAAUGAAGUACAAUCUUGGUCCUGAUUGUUUAUAAGAGCUUUUCAGCCUCAUGUUAGGCACUGUCUGAUGAUAAGGAGUCCAUAGGAUAAAUUGAGAGUUGAGUUAUUUUCAUUUGUAGUAGCUUAUGCGCAUGGUAAAUGUGUUCCUCUCUGAUGUUUUUCUUUUGGGCUGGGGGCGUACACUUAUCUGCCAGGUACACAACUUCCAAGCCAUACCUGAGAAAAACAAAUACAGCAAUGGUUGGCACUUGGCAGUGAUAUUAUCAAUCGAUAUUUUGCAGGAAUUCACAUAGCAGGUGAUUGCAUAGGGGGUGCAUUUGUGUGCCUGAUUUUUCAUCAGACAUCUAUAUCAAUUGUUUACAUGUUAGUUAGUGUUGCAUUUGGAAAUUAAGGUUGGCAAUUGUCUUCGACAUUUGGUGAGAAUAUUAGUGGAAUUUAUUGAGCUUGUAAUGAAGACUGUGUGUCAUGAGAAGCGCAUGGGAUGAUAGUAGGUAUCAGAUGGCUUUGUGUUAGUGACUUCAGGGUGUGAGUAAUAUUGCAUCAUGGAUAGAUGAUCAGGGUGUUAGUGACUCAGCAUAACUAAAAUUGAAUAUAUGAGAUGUGACUUUGGCACUACUACACAUGAGGAGGGAGAUGUCAGUUUGGAAAGCCAAGUAGUGCCCAGGAAGGAUACAUUUCGAUAUUUGGGAUCAAUGCUAAAAGCCAAGAUGGGGUUAUUGAUGAGGAUGUUAGUCAUAGAAUCAAAACGGGGUGGAUGAAGUGGUGCCAAGCAUCAGGAAUUUGAUUGACAAGAGGGUACCAUUGAAGGUAAAAGGCAAGUUUUGUAGGACGACGAUUAGACCUGCAAUGCUGUAUGGUACAGAAUGUUGACCUACAAAAAGACAACAUGUCCAGCAGAUAAGUGUUGCAGAAAUGCGUAUGUUGUGUUGGAUUUGUGGUCAUACGAGAAGGGAUCGAGUCCGGAACGAGGAUAUACGUGAUAGGUUAGGGGUAGCACCAAUUGUAGCACCAAUUGAAGAAAAGCUUAUCCAACACCGGCUGAGUGGUUUGGACAUGUCCAACAAAGGCUUCCGGAGGCACCGUGGAACCCUGAGGCAUGACAAUAAUGUGAAGAGAGGCAGAGGAAGACCAAAAUUGACAUGGGAAGAGGCAAUAAAAGGAGAUUUGAAGGGAUGGAAUAUACCCAAAGAUUUAGCCCUGGAUAGGAGUACUUGGAAAACAACUAUUCAUGUGCCUGAACCCUGAUUUGUGGCUCUUGUUGGGUUUCAACUCUAGCCUACCCCAACUUGCUUGGGACUGAAAGGCUAUGUUGUUGUUGUUGUUGUUUGUGAUGGAUAGAUGAUCAGGGAACUGAGGUCGCUUGCAGAACAGUUCUGGAUAUUUGAUGCAAUUAACAGUGGCUUCAUGAUGAAAUAAAAAUACAAUGUGUAGUCCAUAGUACUUAGUAAGUGUCAGCUAGAGCUUGAAGAUACCCAUAUUCAUUCAUGCUCAUACAUGAUGUCACGCAUUUUCCUUGCCCCAGCAAUUGACCAUAUUUUGAUACUGUCCCUAUCUUCUGUUACAUAAUGAUGUUAUCUUCUCUGCAACAUUGUUCCAGGCGAUGUGGAGCUCACAAACAUGCAAUUGAAGCCAGAAGCGCUCAAUUCAUUGAAGUUACCUGUUAGAGUCAAAGCUGGUUUCCUUGGUUCAGUGAAGCUCAAGGUUUGUAGUAAUUUCUUUGCUCUAGUAUAAAUGCAGAACUAUUUUGCUGUAUUUGUGAUUUUAUGAUUCUUUGUAAUAAGGAGUGGGAUAAAGGAUGUUCAUGUCAAUGAUUGUUAGGUUCCAUGGAGCAGGCUCGGACAGGAGCCAGUUUUGGUUUAUCUUGAUCGAAUUUUUAUACUAGCUGAACCAGCAACACAAGUUGAAGGUUGUAGUGAGGAUGCUGUCCAGGAAGCAAAAAGAAGUAGAGUUCGGGUAAUAAACUUCUGAUGGUAGCUAAGUGAUUUUUGCAAUUAAGGCCAGAUCCGUGCAAGUACUGAUUUGUUUGUUAUUUGCAGGAAAUGGAGAUAAAGUUAUUGGAGCGCCAGCAGCAACUGAAAUCUGAACUAGUAUGUGCUAGUACCUAGUUCUGUAUUAUUGUUUAUUUGACCUGCUGUUGAAAUCUGAACUAGUAUGUGCCAGUAACAAGUUCUGAACUAGAUUAUGACCAUGGACCAGUAAUGGUGCAUAUUUUACCUGCUGUUGUGUGGUUUUUAGAUACUUUGUUUAUUUCUCACUGCAAUUUUCUUUCUUUGAAGAAUUCAUCAUGGCUUGGAUCUUUCAUUAGCACUGUAAUUGGAAAUAUCAAGUUAUCUAUCGGCAAUAUUCAUAUAAGAUACGAAGAUGUAGAGAGGUAAUGCAAUUCUGUUUGGUGGAUUUAUCUUUUGUGAUGCAUAUUAAAAUACCAUGACUUUCCUGUAGCAAUCCAGGCCACCCUUUCGCAGCAGGUCUGGUACUUUCAAAACUUUCGGCAGUUACUGUGGAUGACCUUGGCAAGGAGACUUUUGCCACUGGUGGGGAUUUGGACCGAGUAAAAAAGGUACCUUGUUCCUAAGUUCUACAUUUUGUGUGCACGUUUAGUCAGAUAUUACUUCAUGUCUGCUGUCAACAUCUGGUAGUUCAGUUUUGUUUUUGCUAUCCAUGGGUAAUUCUUUUAUUCAAAAGAUACAUGAGCAAACGCUUGUGGCAUUUCUUUGACAUAUCCAUCUUCCAUCUCCAAAAAUGGUGAUUUUCUGUUUUUGCAUAUCAGAAUAUUAGGUUCCAAAGUAACAACUAUGAUUAAUUUUUCAGUUUUGUAAUUUUGCUGGUAUAUUUGUUUGCGCAAAGGUUUCUGCACCUAGAAUGAAUUGUGUUCACUUCAACAGUGAAUACAUUAUUUUGAUUUUGGGAGCAUUUGGCAUAUUUUUUUUUUCGGUUUGGCUUUUCUUUUCCUUUCAAUCAUCUUGCACAGCUUCUUUCUUACUUGCCUUUGGUAGCUUACUAGUUAAAAUAUUUCUGCAGUCUGUUGAACUUGAGAGUCUGGCGAUGUAUUUCAACUCUGAUAGCAGUCCUUGGACUGUGGAUAAGCCCUGGGAGGAUUUAUUGCCAUCAGAAUGGAGUCAGGUAUUCCAGUUGUGUUCAUUUGCAAAUAAAGACCCUGGGCCUGAGAGUAAAAAUCUGCAUAGAGACAGUUGCUCCCCCCUUUUUUUACAAUAUCUGCCAGAACAGCCACAUGGUGGAUUGAUGGGUAGGCAUAGUGCUAUACUGAGGUUUAGUGGGAGGUCUUCUAUUCUUCCAUUAUUUGCAUCAAGUUACAUGACAGAUAUUUGUUGUUUUAUGAAAUGUAUUUCAGAUUUUCGAGUUUUCGGAGCAGGGUCGUUCCAGAUCUACUUCAAAAAAGCACAGUUACAUUUUACAACCUGUAUCUGGCAAAGCAAAAUAUACAAAAAUACAACUUACUGAGGCAAAGAAAACAGGACAGGCAUUGCAAAAUGCUGCUGUUGAUUUGGAUGAUGUUACUCUUUCAUUAUCGAAGGUCUUUACUCUUGUCUUUUCUCUUUGAAUCUUAUCCAAAGUUCUGUGAACAUUAAUACCUUUUCCUCUAACCAGGACGGCUACAGGGACUUCCUGAAGAUGGCUGACAAUUUCUCUUCUUUUAACCAACGGUUGAGAUAUGCUCAUCUCCGGCCUUCUUUACCAGUAAAAUCAGAUCCACAGGCGUGGUGGAAGUAUGCAUGCAAGGUGGUGACUCAGGAAAUAAAGAAAUCUAGGUAUUUUGCACAUUCUUCUCCGACUUCAAAUUCAUAUAUGGAUAGAGGUGGGAAUGGAUUGAGGUCCAUGUCCAAUAUAGAGAAAUCCAGUUAAAAUCCAAGAAAAAUCAUCCAAUAUCCAAUCCAAUCUUAAUGUAAAAUGACUAAUGUCUAAUCCAAUCUAACUAAGAAAAGAUCAUCUCAUUGGGGACAUCUUAUGGGGUAGACGUACGAAAGAAAAUAACCGGUGAGUUAGUAGAGUAGAUCCAACUUCUUUUUAGUCCAAGUUCAUCCAAAAGAUCCAAUAAUAAAAAUUUAGUAUAACUACUAUAUAUAGGCCAAGGUCAAGAGUCGGACCCUAAAAUUUAAACCUCGCGUUCACACUUCAAAGUUUCAGCAAAAUUGGUUGAAAUUUGUUAGAGAUGGUUCAGUAUGAUAGUCUAGUCUGCUACUUCAUGUAAUUAGUGUGGCUAGAUUCACGUGGGCCCACAUCCAGAUCCGGACCCAUAACUAAAACCUCGCUUUCACACCUUAAAAUUUCAGCGAAUUGACUGAAACUUGUUGGAGAUGGCUCACUACAUUAGCUAGCCAGCUACAUCGUGCAGAUUGGCAUGGCUAGAGUAACAUGUGGGACCUGCAUCAAGAGCUGGACCCUAAAACUAAAACCUCGCGUCCACACCUUAAAAUUCAGCGAAAUGACUGAAAUUUGUGAGAUGCUAACAAAAUCAGCCAGGUACUUCNNNNNNNNNNNNNNNNNNNNNNNNNNNNNNNNNNNNNNNNNNNNNNNNNNNNNNNNNNNNNNNNNNNNNNNNNNNNNNNNNNNNNNNNNNNNNNNNNNNNNNNNNNNNNNNNNNNNNNNNNNNNNNNNNNNNNNNNNNNNNNNNNNNNNNNNNNNNNNNNNNNNNNNNNNNNNNNNNNNNNNNNNNNNNNNNNNNNNNNNNNNNNNNNNNNNNNNNNNNNNNNNNNNNNNNNNNNNNNNNNNNNNNNNNNNNNNNNNNNNNNNNNNNNNNNNNNNNNNNNNNNNNNNNNNNNNNNNNNNNNNNNNNNNNNNNNNNNNNNNNNNNNNNNNNNNNNNNNNNNNNNNNNNNNNNNNNNNNNNNNNNNNNNNNNNNNNNNNNNNNNNNNNNNNNNNNNNNNNNNNNNNNNNNNNNNNNNNNNNNNNNNNNNNNNNNNNNNNNNNNNNNNNNNNNNNNNNNNNNNNNNNNNNNNNNNNNNNNNNNNNNNNNNNNNNNNNNNNNNNNNNNNNNNNNNNNNNNNNNNNNNNNNNNNNNNNNNNNNNNNNNNNNNNNNNNNNNNNNNNNNNNNNNNNNNNNNNNNNNNNNNNNNNNNNNNNNNNNNNNNNNNNNNNNNNNNNNNNNNNNNNNNNNNNNNNNNNNNNNNNNNNNNNNNNNNNNNNNNNNNNNNNNNNNNNNNNNNNNNNNNNNNNNNNNNNNNNNNNNNNNNNNNNNUCUGGUGUGCUUUUAGUCGCUCAUGUACCCUCUUCCCCAGGAAAGAUCAGUGAAUAUCACCUGCUCUGCCCCCCCACCCCCACCCCCCUUUCUUUCCUGACGAACAUGCUCACUUGUUCCUGAGCAUGUUACCAUGUAUUGAAUCUUCUCAAAAUUAUUUCUAGUCCAUGAUGUUUUGCAUGCAACUGUGCCAGAAAAUCUCUGAUUCUUAAAUAGGUCAUUUUUGCUGUUUGAGCUUUCUUUCCCUUUUUUUGAGCUCAAGAUGUAUUGCAUUAUGUAGUCGCUUGAGCAGCACAUGUUUUUGAUUCUUCACUUUUUCAAUUUAUAAUCCAUGAAGCAGUUUGGAUGCAUUUUGCACGCGAUUCAAAAUUCAUGUGCUUAUACUGCGCCGUUUAUCCCAUUGCUGAUUGUAGAUUCCUUUAUUCAGUUAUAUUUAAUCUUCUUACCUUAUGUAGGAUGCUGGCUCACAAGUUUGUAGAACAGUCAGCAGAAGCGUAUCAGUAUGCUCAACAAAAUAAAAAGCAAUCCUGGUGGUCAUUUGGAUGGUUGAUUUCUGGCCCAUACAAUCUUAUUGUUUCUGAAUUGUUAAAUAUGUGGUAAUUAAUCUUUGUUCUUCAUACAGGACUGGCUCUUCAAAGGACGAGGAAGAUUCAAAGAGUUUUACUGAUGAAGAUUGGGAAAGAUUAAAUCGGAUCAUUGGAUACAAAGAAAACACCGAGUAUAUCCCUGAUCAGCAGGACAUGAAACUGAUGCAAUUUUAUUUUGAGAUACGUAUGAAGCAUAAUGCAUCAAAGCUUACCAUUGAUGAUUCGGAGUGCCUUGCUGAUCUCUCAUGUCAAGAUUUCAGCUGUAACUUGAAAAUGUAUCCGGAGGCAAAAAUAUUUGAUCUGAAGCUUGGUUCCUACAGGCUGUUAUCUCCAUAUGGCCUGCUUGCUGAGGUUCCUGUGUCUGGUUCUUCAGUUAGCCUUUUUACACUUUCAUAGUAAAUUAUGGCAGUCACUCAAACGAUUCUAUGUUCUGUAUGUACCAGAGCGCAGAUGUUGUUGACUCUUUUGUUGGUAUCUUCUCCUACAAACCAUUUGAUGAGCAACUGGACUGGAGUUUGACAGCUAAAGCUUCUCCUUGUUAUAUAACUGUAAGCUAUUCUUGUUAUACCUUAGUCUGCAUGCAUUUGUUUACUCUUUCAUGAUUUGAGUUCCUGUUCUGAUAGUAUUUAAAAGAUUCGAUUGAUCAAAUCGUUGGCUUCUUCAAGAGUAGCCCUACCAUUAGCCAGAACCUGGCACUAGAAACUGCUGCUGCUGUACAGGUAUCUACAAGUAAAUUUGAUUUGAAGCAAGACUGUUUCGUGGGAUCGAAUGAUUGAUUGAUCGUUCUUUGUUGCUUUGUGAAGAUGACACUAGAUGAAGUUAAACGGACCGCUCAACAGCAAAUGACUCGGGUGCUAAAAGAUCAGUCCAGGUUAGUAUAUUUCCCCCCCACCAAUUUUGUACACCGAAAAGGUGAAAAAAUAUUGACGUGGAUAAAAAAAUAGUAAAAAUCAUUUUUUUUGGAAUUGUGGGUUCAAUAAGACUUCAGUAGCUUUUCAUGGAGCAAUCUGUGCAUUAUUAGCUUCCUACCAGUAAUUGUUUAUAUGGAAUAAGAAAAAAAAGAUGUAGCAACAACAGUUAAGUGCUUAUUAACUGCAAUAAGUUGAUGAAAUUUUUUGCUAGCAUUUUAACCUCAAAAAGGAAUUUGAAAAAUGGGGUUGUGGUUUUAUGUAAAAGUAAGGAUUUGUUGUCGCUUUUUCUAUAACAUGAAAUUACGUGAUGUCAUCGGAUAAUAAAUCCAAAGGAAAGGUCGAUAAAAUGAUUCAAUCGACUAUAUUUGAAUUACUCUAGAUGUCUACAUCAUUGCUUUUCUUUACUCCUUUGCUUCUAUUAUAACGUCACACUAAAGAAUUUAGCUACAUUUUAUUUUGUCUAUCCCUUCUUCAAUGCUGACUAAUGUAUUACUUAAUCCUGCCAGGUUUUCACUGAACAUGGAUAUUGCUGCUCCUAAAAUUACUGUUCCGACCAAGUUCCGACCAGAUGAUGUACAUGAGACUAAGCUUUUGCUUGACCUUGGAAAUUUAGUUCUUCGGACAGAGGUUGUNNNNNNNNNNNNNNNNNNNNNNNNNNNNNNNNNNNNNNNNNNNNNNNNNNNNNNNNNNNNNNNNNNNNNNNNNNNNNNNNNNNNNNNNNNNNNNNNNNNNCUGUUUGCAGUAUGAUUUUAUCUUAAGCAGUUCGUUUAGAUAGCUACUAAUGCCACUUGUUGCUUCAGGAAAUAUGGGAUUCCUAUUCUUCAGAAGAGCAGGAUAUAUAUCUAAACUUCAAUUUGGUGCUUAGUGAUGUAUCUGCAUUUCUGGUGGAUGGUGAUUACCAUUGGAAUGAAACAUCUGAUGGAAUCAACUUGUUGCCAGUAAUUGACAAGUGUGGGAUUGCUUUGAAGCUUCAGCAGGUAAAAUAGUACUCCACCUACCUCUCACACAAAAUAAUUGAAAGAUAAAAGGAGGGAAAUUAAAUGUUAUCAACAUGACAUGGUUCGUUGCUCCUUUCGUCGCACAGAUCCAGUUGGAGAGUCCUCUAUAUCCUUCCACAAGAAUGGCGUUACGGGUUCCUUCCCUGGGGUUUCAUUUUUCUCCAGCACGCUAUCAUCGUUUGAUGGAAAUUUUAAAGAUUUUUCAAGAUAGUGAUAGUGAGAAUAGCACUUCAGAUCUUGAACAUUUGUGGGAUCAGGCUGAUUUUGAAGGAUGGUCGUCUCUUCUUGUGUGGAAGGUUUACAUUCUUUGUAAUGCACUCACUAAUGAUUGAUCAUUUAGGGAUUAUGUCAUAUUUUUUAUAUGCUAUUAGGGUGUUGGAAACCGAGAAGCUGCUUGGCAACGCAGAUACUUGCGUCUGGUGGGCCCAUUUCUCUAUGUAUUUGAAAAUUCAACAUCCACUACAUACAAGCAAUGGUUCAGGUUAUUAACUUUCCUAUAUAGUUAUGAAUUCUAAGUUAUUGUCAGGUUUUGAGUUUAUAGUAUCUACAUGCAUGUUGAUUUGAUGUUGUCUGGGAUUCCACGGAAUACUACCCCUGAAUUUAUUGUGUUUACCUCAGCAAAUUACUUGACUUUCCAACAUAUGAAACUUCAAAUACUUGUCAGCAUUGUCAUCAUGAGCCGUUGCUUCAGCAAUGGUAGAAACUUAUGAGGCCUCAUGGUGAUUCGUGCUUUCAGAACCAGAGGCCACCAAAUAUUUUGCAUUGCUUAACACCUUUAACGUUUCAAUGACAACAUGAUAGUGAAAUCUAUGUCUGUUAGACAUAAUGUCAUGUGAUUAUAUUCAUGUUUUCUAAUCAUUUUGUUUUUUUUUGGUACCUGCACACUUGUUUUUACCUGCUUGUAUUGAGUUGCAGUUUACGUGGGAAACAAGUUCAUCAGGUCCCUGCUGAGCUUACAAAUGGUGUGCAUAACAUCCUGGCACUGCACGAUUCUGGUCAAGUUAAUCCUAAGGAAUGUUCAAGUAGUAUAGUUCAUUAUUUACUUCAUCAAUAUUUUUCUGCUUCAGUCUUCCUGACAUAAAUUAUUAUCUUAAUAAACUUUCUUCUUUUACAGAUUCUGGAAGACACUGGUGCUUUAAUUUUUUUGUUUGACAAUGAGGAAGGACGGAAGAUAUGGCAGAGCCGCUUGCAGGGUGCUAUAUACCGUGCAUCGGUACUCCUUGCUCUUUUCUUGUUUUUGGUCGCUUACAUUAUUUAUCUUCUUUUUUUUUAUGUAAAUACAGCGAGGGAGGCCCCCACUGUUUAAUUAUCUUCUGUUGGCAUCCUUACAAUUUAGCCUUCUUGCAGGGUUCUGCUGCAGUUUCUAGCUUUCCUGAAGUUGCUCUCUCAUCAGAGACCAACUCAUUCAAAGGCAACUUUGCGGAUGUUGACACAGAAAAAUUAUUUGUUGCUGGCAUUCUUGAUGAGCUGAAGAUAUGCUUUUCGUGUGGCUAUGAGGUAUUUCUUUCUUAACUAAUAUUCUUUGUAAUCUUGAUUUAAUGUUAAUAAUGUAACCCAUGCUUCUGUAGGAUGACCACAAACUAAAAAAGGUUCUGCUAGCUAAGGAGAGCAGCCUAUUUGAAUUUCGGGCAGUUGGUGGCCAGGUACCCAUCUUUUCUUCUGUUUUGUUCCUUGCUUUACGACUUAUUUUAUAUAAUUUUUCUUUUGGAACAAACAGGUUGAACUUUCAGUUAAAGGUGGCAAUUUACUGAUAGGAACUAUUUUGGGGUCACUAGAAAUUGAAGACCAGUAUUACUACCCAGGAAGUCCAGUGCCAAGGUUCUUGGCAAGGUCUUUUAUCAAUAGCAUGCAAACCCAAGAAGUCCCCUCACCUAGUCGAAAGAACAGUGCAGGACCUAAAGGCACUCCAUUGAAGAAAAAUGACAGCGAGGAAAACUUUUUUGAGGCAUCAGACGAUUUUGAUGAAUUUGAAACACCUAUGCUUCAAGAGAGGACCAUAUCAGAUUAUUUUAGUACCCAGAAUUUCUUGCCUGCUAGUCUUCCUUCCCUACAGCCCCCGACAUUUAGUCGAAUACCUGGUUUGAUACCAGACAGUGAACUUCAAACAGUUGGAUUCACUUUGGAUGGUAAUGAUACUAUCGAUAGUUUUGUGAAAGCUCAGAUAGUGAUUUAUGAUCAGCAUUCUCCCCAGUACAACAACUUGGACAACAGGGUAAUUAUCUCAAAUCUCAUUACAUUAUAUGCUUAUGUUUUUUUUGUACGGAUGUACCUGUUCCUUGAGUCUUGAUCAUGCUUGGGUUUAUUGUAUGGAUGUAGCUAUUCCUCCUACCACCUUGAUCAUGUGUGAUAGCUCAUAUUUUUCUUCGUUUUACCAGGUAGUUGUAACCGUUGCUACUUUGACCUUCUUUUGCCAUCGGCCAACUGUUAUUGCAAUCAUGGAAUUUAUGAAUGCCAUCAAUCUUGCAAACGGGCCUGACACUAAUAAAUAUAAAGACACAUAUCCUGCUACUGUAGAAGAUGGUACAAUUGAGGAAUCUAAGUCUGAUCUGGAACCAGAGCCAGCCAUAAAAGGGUUACUGGCUAAAGGUAAAAGCAGAAUAGUUUUUCAUCUUACGUCUAGCAUGGCAGAGGCGCAGAUAUUACUGAUGAAUGAGAAUGGUGAUCGGCUUGCUACUUUAUCACAAAAUAACCUCUCGACUGAUAUAAAGGUAAUAUGACUGUUUCUAAUCCGUGAUAGAUUUUGGUUUGGAUUUUCUAAUGCAUACUGGGGUCUUGACUAUCUGUGACAUUACUCAAGGUGUUCACAUCAUCAUUCAGCAUAAAGGCUGCACUUGGAAACCUUAAAAUAAGCGAUGAUAGUCUCCGUAGCAGUCACCCUUACUUUUGGGUUUGUGACAUGCGAAAUCCUGGAGGACGUUCAUUUGUGGAGGUAUUCAUGUUAAUUGAUUUCACUUGCUUGUUGGAGGCUUUAAUUUAUUAUGCUUGAAAUUGUUCCUUUCUUUUUUUGAAUGCAAGAAAUUGUUCCUUUCUAGAAAUAAUCUUUUUAUGAAUCAUAGAAGAAUAAUCAGUUUUCAAAAUCAUGGUGCAGAUUGACUUUAGUUCAUACAAUGUUGGUGAUGAAGAUUAUUGUGGUUAUGACUAUAGCCUUGCAGGGCAGCUUUCUGAAGUUAGAAUUGUUUACCUGAACCGUUUUGUUCAAGAGGUAUGGUGUUUAGAGCUCAAUAUGUUUCUUGAUUCUGCAAAUAGUUUAAUCUGUCUCCGUCCCUCUCUGCAGAUUAUCAGUUACUUUAUGGGACUUGUCCCAAAAAGUUCUGACGGUGUUGUAAAGCUGAAAGACGAUGUGACUAACUCAGAGAAGUGGGUUAGCAAAACCGAUAUGGAAGGUUCACCUGCUCUCAAAUUGGAUGUUUCUUUCAGCAGGCCUAUAAUUGUUAUGCCCCGUGAAACUGAUAGUGCUGAGUAAGGAUGCUUUCAUGUAUAUGAACAUGGUUUAUUCAUUUACUUGUAUCAUAUCUUUAAGAUGAUCACAUUGGUUUGCAGCUUUUUGGAGCUUGAUGUCCUAUACAUAACAGUCCAAAAUGAAUUCCAGUGGAUAGGUGGUGAUAAGAAUGAGAUGAGCGCUGUUCACUUGGACAUUUUGACAGUUACAGUAAGUUCAUUUUGUCAACAAAUAUAUGCCAUUGUGAUCUUAGUUGAUAAAUGCAUAUAGCUGAUCUUCUUGUAAAAUAGUAACAGGCUGCAGCUUAUAUUAGCCAUGACUGAUUGUAUCUUAUUAUGAUUAUUAUGUUUUGGGCUCGCAGGAAGUUCCUGUCAUGUUGAUCUUUUAUGAUUUAGUUUCCUAUUUAGAACACUGGGCAAACAAACACCUGUUUUGCACAUCUUAUUCCUCAUGCCACCAUGCUUAAAAUCAUUUUUAUAGAAUGAUUAAACUUCCUUUUGUAGGUAAAGGACAUAAAUUUAGUUAUUGGUAUGGAUAUGGUGCGUGGUGAAACCAUAAUUCAAGAUGUGGAAGGCCUCUCAUUUGAACUUCGUAGAUCAUUGCGUGAUCUCAGGCAUCAGUUGCCAGCGGUGGAGGCAGCAAUUAAGGUAGCACAUUUGCUCUGAACGCAUCUUUCGUUGGAGGUCCCUGGUUAGAUUCAUUUGUUUUUCUUAUAGCUUCAUUGAGACACUCAUUUCUUUUACCAACAAUAUCUCUUAGGUGGAUGUUUUGAAAGCAGCACUAUCCAAUCGAGAAUAUGAGAUCAUAUCUGAAUGCGCAUUGUCUAACUUCUCCGAGACACCACGUACUGUGCCAACUCUGAAUGACCCUCAAUAUGGCACUUCCACUACUCCAUCUCAUGCAUCGGCAUCUUCUGAAAGUAUUCAGGACUUGUCCCAAGAUGAGGAAACAUGGAUAUCUAAUAAAUUUUCUGUCUCAGUAAAUCUGGUUGAGCUUUCGCUGCAUUCAGGAUCGACAAGAGAUUCUCCUCUGGCUAGUGUGCAGGUACUCAAUUUUUGUACAGAAAAAUACUUUGGAACUGCAUUGACUUCUCUGUUUGUUUUUCAUAGCUUUUCCUUUUCCUUACCUGGGCUUGUCUCAUAAUCAUAUUGAAAGCUUGCAUGAACACAACUCCGUACAGUGACAUACCACUUCUGACAUUAUCCCUAAAACUUUGGUUAGCAUUUUGUUCUCUAGCUGACUGGUAUCAGCAAGUGUAUUUUUACAAGUAAACUGAAGUAGCCUUGUGAUAGUUUUGCAAGAAAAAUGUAAAUUCUAACGAAAACUUCUUAGGUUUUAGUUCGUUCGUCCAAAGUCUAGAAAAAUGAGGUGUGUAUUAGCAUUUAGUACCAGUUCUCAUCACUAGACAGCACAACAACUUUUAAAAUGGAUGCCAGCCAGUCUUCCAUGAGGAAAAUUAGGUGGACUCCUAGCCCAACAAAUAAAAAUAUUAAACUACAUUAAGUGGGUUUGCAGUCUUGAUAUUUGGUCAUUUGUAAGGAGCUGCUGAGUGAAGAGGCCUGUAACGUAGUAGUUGCAGUGACCUUAGUAGCACCCUAGGUCCUGGGAUCGAAUCCCCGUGGGAGCAAAUUUCAGGCUGGGUAUGUCGGUGUUUAGACCCGGCAACCUACUGAGGGGGGUGCCCGAGGUAGUGUUUUGGUUAGUGGGGCUCGUCGAGAUCAGGAACUCUAAACACAGACACACGAUUUAGACAGGUUCGGGCCGCUAGAUUGCGUAAUACCCUACGUCCUAUGUUUUGGUUGGAUUGAAUUGCUUUGGAGGGGGUCCCUUCCUCGCCUUAUAUAGUCGGGGGCAGGGUUACAGGUCGGUUGGUUACAAGAAUACUAGUCGCAUCCGACUAGAGGAGUUUUACUCUUAUUACAACGAGUACUUUUCUAAUCCUCGACUAGUUCCUGUCUUUCCAUGUAGACUACGCCGUCCUUCGUCAUGGUCUCCAUGUCAGAUGCGCCUCGGUGUCCAGCUCCAUAUUUAGGACUGUCCAAACCUUUUGGUGGGCCCAUAGAUGUAUAUACGACAGGGUAAAAAAAAUCACUCGCUGAUUCUCUUGGCUGGCAUGGGUGAACCAACCUGUGGUGGGUGGUGGGUGGGCCCUCGUGUAAGGGGCUGAUUGUGUGGGUUGGGCCUCAAAGCACGGGUCAAGGCUCGAACCACAAGGGGUGGCAUCCUCAUGUAUGAGGUGGCCAGCUUUCGUGACUUUUCUUGGCCGGGUUCCGGUUGAGCUCUUCUUAGUGAAAUACCGUGGGGGCUACAGUGGUGGCGGUCUUUCCCCCCACCGGCCAAGUUCUUUUUAAGGAGCUGCUGAAUCUCAGCUAUGUGAGUAGUGAACACAAACAAAGGACAUCCUAGAGGGAUGGAGGUACAUCUGUCCAAAUUUUGAUAGAAUAUAAGAAUGUGGAAUUGGUAUAGGUGUCUAUAGUAACUUGAGAAUCAGAUAACAAUUUUUAUGCUGUUUCUGUGUGUGUUAAAGUAUUCUUCUGGUGUGUCCUAUUUACUGACUCUGGGUCAGAUUUUAAGUAAAUGUUUUUUUUUUCCUUUUGGGGAUUUCUUUCAUAUGGGUCUAUAGCUCUUUGUUGGGAUUGGUUUACCUCUCAUAUAUUUUCUGCAUGCAGGCGAGUGGCGCAUGGCUUCUAUACAAAUCAAACACACGAGAGGAGAGUUUUCUGUACGCUACCCUCAAAGGCUUUUCUGUUUUUGAUGGUCGUGAAGGAACAAAAGAUGAGUUAAGGCUUGCCAUUGGGAAAUCUGCAACUGUUCGAGACACAUCAUCUGUUGAUGGCUAUGAUAAUCAUAAUGAACUUGAUUCAGGUGAACAAAGAAUACAAAAGGAUCUAGGUCUUGAGCCAAUCCCCCCAAUGCUCAUUCUUGAUGCCAUCUUCCGGAAAUCUUCGUCAUCUCUCUAUCUAUGUGUUCAGCGACCCAAGUUUCUUGUGGCACUUGACUUCUUACUAGCAAUAGUUGAGUUCUUUGUGCCAUCUGCUCGGAGUCUUUUAUCCAACGAUGAAGACAAGGAUCUUCUACACAUGAUUUCUCCAGUAAUAUUGAAUGAUCAGAUUUAUUAUCAGGAGGGUUCAACAUUUAGUCUUUCACCUCAGAAGCCCUUGAUUGUUGAUAGUGAAAGAUUUGAUCACUUUAUAUAUGAUGGGAAGGGUGGGAAGUUAUAUUUGCUGGAUAGGGAGGGGAAACUCCUCUCAAGACCUAGCUCUGAGAGUUUCAUUCAUGUGCUGGGGUGUAAGAGGUUGCAGUUUCGGAAUGUCACUAUAGUGGUAAUAUUCUGUGCUUUCAAUUCCUAUUAUUCUCACUUUCUACUUACCACACCUAUAUAACUCCCCGAACCUUUUUGGCUUGGCAAUUUUCAAUACCUCGCCACAGAAUGGUGAAUAUUUGGACUCCUGUGUCUCUCUCGGUGAUGAUUGCUGUUAUUCAGCAUCAGAGAAUGACUGUGUCUACUUCAUAAGAGAAGAUGAUGGUCUCUUGUCGGCUCCCAGCAAGGAAAUUGCAGAAGACACUGUUAAAAAUGCAAGUGUUGACAUAUCGACGGAAUUCAUAUUGGAGUUACAGGUAUUGCCUUGUACUUGUAGCUAUAGUUCAGACAUGAAUUCAUAACUCUCUUAACACAGUUUUCCUCUUGUACCACACAAUGUCAUAUUCUAUACACCCCCCUAGUCAUGUAUGCACACCAAUGUCACUUAUUGAAGCAAGCUCACAUUAUUUGCUUUGAAAUUCCCCUAAGCUACGAACCCAAAUUCCCCUAAGCUACGAACCCUGCAGAUUCAUGAAAGUUCAGGAAUAUCUAACUUUUGAUUUUAUGUUUGAAUGUAACUGUUGAAAUAUCAGUCUAUUUCCCACCUUCAGUUAGAAGCUUAAGCUUUUGCAUGAAUUGAUGCAUUUUAAAUAGAAAAAAGUUGCAGCCCACUCUAUAGACAUCUUUUUAGACCCGCGGGAGCUGAGAGGGAGGGGGCGCUCCUUCCCUCAUGAGCGCUUAAGCUUUUGGAUCAAUGGGCUGGUGCAUGCAGCUUAACAAUAAGAUUCCUAAAUCUGUAAGGUUUGCAUCCACCAGCUGUGUGUGUCAGACUUUUGAGUAGUGCGGUUUCCAGCAGGUUACAACUUACAAACUAUGGAGCAACUCCAUGAUGUGAUUUUUGAAACCACUGCAUCCGCACGAGUGCCAUUUUGUAACUGUAUGAUCAAAGUGUAUUUUCUGAUUACCUGAUUGUUUCAGGCUAUUGGACCAGAGCUUACUUUCUAUAGUACAUCGAGAAAUGCUGGUGAAAACUUAGCAUUAUCAACAAAAGUUAUUCAUGCACGUACUGAUGCACAUUGCAGGUCAGGUUUUCUAGUGCCACUUUGUUCAAUGUAGUUCUCAAUUCUGUCUUAAAACUAUUUUUUUUGUUGAUGGUUAUGAUCCCCGCCUAUAUUAAUUUUGUUAGUAAAUAUUGAUAUACCAUAUACAGGAUGGGAUAAAUUAUGUUGGUAAAAAGCCAGAUUGCUGAUUGCAUUUUAUGUUGCAUCAUUUUCCUUUUACAUUUACUUCAUAUUUCCAUCUGACAAGAAAAUCAUACAAUCAUCUGUGCCGAGAAUUUAUUGAAGCGCACCAUUUCUUGUAAGGGGGAAAGGGUUCUGCCAACAUGUGGCUGACACAUUAAAUGAUGUUCUUUCUGUACUCUGUUGGGGACUAACCCCCUUUUUAUGCAACAGGCUUAUAAUGAAAGGUGGCAGUAUGGAGAUGAAUGGAAACAUACUUGGUUUAAAGAUGGAGAGUAAUGGCAUCAGAGUUAUAGAGCCAUUUGACAUGGCUGUGAAAUAUUCCAGCGCAUCUGGAAAGACAAAUUUACAUGUGCUGGUUUCUGAAAUAUAUAUGAAUUUUUCCUUUAGUAUUCUCAGACUGUUUUUAGCGGUUGAGGAAGAAAUUUCAGCAUUUCUCAGGAUGUCGUCAAAGAAAAUGUCACUUGAGUGCUACCAGUUUGAUAAAGUUGCAACAGUGCAAGGUACUAUAAAACUUGUGGUCAUGUUAGUGUACAGUUGUAGUCAUAUGUUAUAAUUUGCAUUCAUUGACUUGUUUUAGGCAAUACGAAUGAUCAAGUGUUCUCUUUCUGGCGACCACGUGCUCCAUCUGGAUAUGCCAUUUUUGGCGAUUAUCUCACACCAAUGUUUGUGAUUACUCUUUCAUUCUCCUGUCUCUUUCUUAACUUGCUUUUCUGGUGGAAGGAUUUGUAACAUUUAGUUAUUUUUUCAUCUUAGGAAUGACCCUCCUACUAAAAGAGUCCUUGCUUUGAACACAAAUGUUGUAAGGGUCAAAAGGCCUUUAUCAUACAAGCUAAUAUGGCAAUCUAGUUCUCCAAGAACAAACGUUUUUCAUCAGAAUGAGAGAGACUCGAAGAAUAAGCUCUCUAAUGUUGGCCAGCUCUGCUCUGUUUGGUUACCUGUAGCACCCACGGGUUAUGUUGCAAUGGGUUGUGUUGUUUCACCUGGAGCUGCUGAACCGCCUUUGUCUUCAGUUUUCUGUUUAACUGCUUCCUUGGUUUCAUCAUGCAAUUUAAGGGAUUGCAUUGCACUGAGGUCAAACAUAUAACCUGAACUUGUUUUCAUUUUUGUUCUAUGGCUAUAGAGAUUACUCACUCCUGCAUUAUGUCCUUCAAUUAUCUUUUUCAGGGAUAAUGGUAACAUGAUAUUCUGGCGUGUUGACAACUCUUUUGGUUCCUUUUUACCUGGAUAUCCUUCAAGCAUGAGCAUGCAUGGACAUGCUUAUGAUCUUCGACAUAUGCUGUUCAACAGUGCAGGCUCAUCUUCCAAGACUAUCUCUAGGAGUCAAGAUUGUAGGAAUGAUGCCGCUCAGCUAGAGAGAUCAGCAUUGACCUCAGGUCGGCUAUUUGAAGCGGUAGCAAGCUUUAAACUAAUUUGGUCAAAUAGCGGGACCUCUUCACCAAAGAAGCUCUCAAUAUGGCGUCCAAUGUUGUCUGAAGGAAUGUUUUACUUUGGUGACAUAGCUGUUAACGGGUAUCUUUUAUAUAAUUAGUCUUUUUUAUUUAAGAACCAAGCUCCGAUUGUGACAUACAACUUAAUAAUUAACUUCAUUUGUAGGUAUGAACCACCAAAUUCAGCUGUUGUCCUUCGUGAUACUGGUGAAGACACUUUUCUCAGAGCUCCUGAAGGUUAUGACCCUGUUGGUCGAAUUAAGAAGCACCGGGGUACUGAGGGUAUAUCAUUUUGGUUUCCUAAAGCUCCUUCAGGUUUUGUGGCAUUAGGAUGUGUUGCAUCUAAAAGUUCUCCAGAGAAAGAGGACUUCAGUUUGUUAAGAUGUAUUAGAAGUGACAUGGUGAUGGGAGGUCAAUUUUCUGAGGAAAGUGUAUGGGAUUCAUCUAGUGCUAGAACAUAUGAACCUUUUAGCUUAUGGACUGUUGAUAAUGAUGCCGGUACAUUUCUUGUGAGAAGUGGAUAUAGGAAACCUCCCAAGAGGCUUGCUCUGAAGCUUGCUGGUCCACCUACAUCAAGGAGUUCAGAUAACAUCGUUGUUGAUGCUGAAAUUAAAACAUUUUCAGCCGUUUCCUUUGAUGAUUAUGGAGGAAUGGUGAGUCUUAUACAAAGUACAUGGCUAGCCACAAUUAUUUGAACAUCUCAAAUGAUUGUUGACUCAUGUCUUUAUUGCAAUAGCUCUUCUGAUGUUAUAUUUUGAUUUUUGAACUAUUCCGCGCAGAUGGUGCCGUUAUUUGGAAUGUCCUUUGACGAUGUUGGCCUUAGAUACCAUGGGGGUUCUCAUCAUCUAAAUGCAACUGUGAACUUGUCAUUUGUGGCUAGAUCCUAUAAUGAUAAGUAUAGUUCAUGGGAGCCCUUCAUUGAACCAACGGAUGGAUUUCUCAGGUAAUUCUUCUAGGAACUAAAUUCUUCUUUUUGAGAGCAGUUCAGCAGUAUGGGAGGACCGUACUGAAUAAUUAUAUAAUAUGUAUAGAAAUAAAUGUGUAUACAAAGAUAAAUAUGACUGAGGGAUGCACACACAAAAAAGUACAACGUACAUGAACUGAAAAUCUCAUGAGAAACAAACCAUUCUUAUUGGUUUCCUGCCUAAUUUACAAUGCCCAUGCUUUAAGAGUUCUUUUUCUUGGUUUAAAAUCAUAAGUACAUUAUAGAUAAUACUUUCAUUAUUUUGUGUUCAUAAAUAUUUAGUAAUAAUUAAUUGAGCUUGGAUAAUCCACAAUGUUUUCACCUGUUUUACUUGCCUGUUAAGCCGCCACAUGCAACGCCAUAUUAUUUACAAAAUCACAGCUUCUUGUUGAAUUGUUAUUUCAUAAUUUGGUACUCAUUCUUUUGUGAUGAAUAUCAGGUACCAAUAUGACAUGAAUACACCAGGUUCUCCUGGCCAACUCCGUAUUACCUCAACUCGAGAUCUGAAUGUGAAUGUAUCAGUUUCCAAUACAAACAUGUUAUCACAAGCUUAUGCUAGCUGGAACAAUAUUAGCCUUGGUGAUGAAUUAUACAAGAAGGUAUAUCUACUUUAAGCUUAAUGUUUAACAAUUUCGUUGCCUUGCCAUCUAUAAAAAAGAUGGAAACUACAGUUAAGCAUUUGGUUAACAUUUUUGCCAUCGUUUAUCUUCUGAGUUAGUGUUCUUUUGUUCUAUUAUCAGGAAACAUUUUCUUCCACUGAACAACCAGUUCUUGAUGUUCAUCGAAGAAGAAGUUAUUAUGUUGUCCCACAAAACAAACUUGGGCAAGAUAUAUACAUAAGAACAACUGAGAAUAGCAGCUCACUUGUAACUCUGUUGCCAUCUGGGGAUGAUAGGUCCAUAAAAGUUCCUGCUUCAAAGAAUCUAUUGGAUUCUCAUUUAAAUGGAAAAUCUGUUAAAUCAUAUCGGUUGAUGGUAACUGCCAUUCUCGCGGAUGCUGAGGUAGCUCUUUUCUUUUGCACUCAACUAUGUACCUUUUGAUCUUUUAGGUGAAUCUUCAGCAUCUUCUGCUUCAUCUGUACGCCUGCAUGUUGCUUGCUCUGUGAUGAAGUGGUAGUGGUCAACUCUUUGAUCUAUACUUUUUUUUCUUCUCGAACUACGUAGGAGAGCUGCGCGUCAUUUCAUUAAGGUAGAAAAAGAGUACACGAGUCUGGAAAGACCCUCCCCGAGUACAGAAACCACACACCCACACACACCCACGCCUCAACUAAAAAACAGCCGCGCCACAGGCUAGUAAAACUGCAACAGCCGACCAGAACCUUACAGGAUCUUAGACUCCCAAGGCAAGCGACCUGGACAAGACUUCAUGGAGCUUAGUAGCACCGUCCAAGCACCAUAAACCCCCUUCUAUGUUGUUUGAGGGAAACAACCCCCUUCUAUGUUGACAGACCCUAAUUACCUCUUGGAUGUUGGGUCUAAUCUUCUCAAACACGCAAGCAUUCCGGUGUUUCCAGACUUCCCAGGCCACCAGAAUUAUUAAAGAUUUGAACCCUUCCUUAGUUCCUUUGGUACUGCUGCACUAGCUUUCCUCCACCAACUAGCGAAACGGGUGUCAGCGACACCAGGCGCCAGGUCAAGCAGGCCCAGGUGUUGAAGGAUCAAGACCCAGACUUGUUGAACGAAAACACAACCCACCAACAAGUGAUGUAUUGUCUCCUCUUCUUGAUCACAAAAAGGGCAAACCUCGUGGUGGGGCAAGCCCCGCUUCGCUAGGCGAUCAGCGGUCCAGCAUCGAUUCUGAAACACCAACCAGAUAAAAAACUUACAGUUUGGAGGAGCCCAACUCUUCCAAAUCCUUCUCCAGGGGCCAAACUUGAUGGUUCCUACAAAGAAUGCAGCAUAGGCUGACUUGCUACUAUAUGCACCAGAUUGGGUUAACUUCCAUCUAUAAUGAUCCUGUACCUCAUGCUGCAAGACCAGACCAUCCACCAAAUCCCAUAUUUGCAGAUAUUCAACAAGAACUUGCACUGUGAGGGCCCCUGUGAUGUCCUCCACCCAUUUUCGGUUCUGUAGUGCUUGAGCUACUGUCCGCCUCUUGGCUGUGCGUUUAGGGCCUGCUUUGAAUAAAUUAGGGGCCAAUUCCACCACGGUAUGACCAACCAGCGAUCAGACCAAAAGCGAAUUUCUUUCCCAUUGCCCACAAUAGCAUCCACCGCAAUGUUGAACAGGGUCUGGGCGUUCUGGGGGACCUGAAUCGGGAGGCCUGCCCAAGGCCUAUCAGGAUCUGUCUUUUGCGCCCACAGCCAGCAAACUCUUAGAGCCCAGCCCAGACGUUCAAGAUUAUGGAUCCCAAGUCCUCCAUAUUCCAAAGGCCAUUGAACCUUUUCCCAUGCUACUAGACAGUUGCCACAGCAUGCUUUACUAUUUUGCUUUUUGUUAGCACAUGCUGAAAUGCCCUAGCAUUUAAAGCCAGUGCCAACAGACACUGCAGAGUGGUAUUGACUGACUUAUUAUUGACUAUAAACCGGCCUCCAAGACUCCAAAAUUACCUCAACCGGAAGUGGGAAACUUGGAUGAUGAUGAUGAUGAUGAUGAUGACCAGUUUCUGCUAAACUGUAUUGGAUCUAUACCUACUGUUACGAUGUCCAAGCCCAUCUUUUCUGACCAUAGAUGGGAACUAGAGUGUUCACGUAUAAUAUGCUAGUGAAGGAUAUCAACUGAUUCCAAUUUUGAAAUGUAGCCAGCCCAUGUCUUACAUUAUAGUCUGAACCCAAUAUUUCAAUUAACUUGUCUGCUAAAUAAAUUGUUGCAAAGGACAUUUUCCGGUCCUUCUAAACUUAGUUUUCCUUCCCAGGUCAAGGUUGAUGAAGGAUUAGCAACUGGUGAAUAUAUGACUGCAGUGCGGCUCUUUACAGAAAAUCAUUCUAUAUCUGAUCCUCGGCAACAGAGUGCCCGUACUUGUGCUGCUGCUGGAGAACACUCGUCACAGAACAUUAGAAAGGUGAACUGGAACGAGAUGUUCUUUUUCAAAGUCGAAUCUGAGGUAUGUGAGCUGAGCACAUCUUGUCCUCUAGAUAUCCAUGACAGUUGCUCUAACUAUGGUUAGUGGUAACUUUUUCAACAGCCGUGUUUUCAUUUUAUUAACAUUUUGUUUUCACCUGAAAAACUUCAGGAUAGUUAUAUUCUGGAGCUUCUUGUGCUUGAUGCUGGUAGAGGUUUGUGGUUUUAGUGCAAAACAAUAAUUAUUAUAUUGUUUGUUUUCCUACACUAGUUUAUUAUCUAUGCUCACAACAGGUCAACCAGUUGGAAUAUACUCUGCUCCAUUGAAGCAAGUUGUGCAAAAGCUCCCUCCUACCUCAAAUUCGGACUCUGCUAAAUUUGAUUUGACUCUAGGUGACCUUAUGUCAACCAAGACAGUGGUGAGAACUGAUACUUUGAGAACCAUGUAUUGAUUGAGUCACUAUUUCAGAAAAGAGUGCACACAUGGUGCUUCUGGGAAAUUUGUAUUUACAUAUUUUUUUAUGACAUUGUAUUCACAAUUCUUCGCAGGAACCUGAAACUGUUAAACCUAGUGGGAAAAUAAGAUUUGCUGUACUUGUUUCUGGUAGAGCUAGUGUACAACAAGGGAAGACAACCAGUUCUGGAAGAAGUAAGACUGGAUAUAUCCAAAUUAGUCCUUCCAAAGAAGGGCCUUGGACAGACAUGAAGUUAAAUUAUGCUGUACCUGCAGCAUGUUGGAGGUUUGGCAAUUGUGUGAUUGCUAGUGAAGCAACAGUCAAGGAGGGCAACAGAUACCUUAGCAUACGUUCCCUUGUGUCAGUUACUAACACAACCAAUUUUGUUGUUGAUUUGCGUCUAAAAGGAAGAUUCGCUCAAAGUGCACGAUCAGAUGAACAGGGAAAAGACAGUUCUGUUAAAGAGGAUCAAAUCUUGAUCGGAAUGUUGGAACCCAAUUCUGCGGUUCCAGUCCCACUACCAGGCCUCUCACAUCCUGUUGCGCCUUAUAUGUUGCAGCUAAGACCGGCAAGUCAUCAUGAACACAUUAAUUACUCCUGGAGUGAUGUCCAGGAGAGACGCAGUCAAACUGAGUUUAGAAAGGAGGAGAUCCUAGAUAUAUGUGUAUCAGAUCUGUAUGAAUCAGAAAACUUGCUAUUCUGCUCACAGAUUGAUGGCACUUCCAGUUCUUGUCAUGGACUAUGGUUUUGCUUGAGUAUAGAAGCCAAGGAAAUAGGCAAAGAUGUUCACAUGGAUCCAGUAUACGAUUGGAGCAUCAUUAUCAAGUCCCCAUUGUGUUUGGCAUACUAUCUUCCCAUUUCUGCACAUUAUACUGUAAGUUCUAGCCACCACGAUGAUGAAGAUUCAAGUUGCUCUCGUGGUGCCUUAAAUCCUGGAGAGGCUGUGAAGGUUCACAAUGUUGAUCCAAGAAACCCUUUGUACUUGUCUCUCAUUCCGCAUGGGGGAUGGGAACAAAUGCAUGUACGUAUACAGUGCUUUCACAAAUAUAUGCUUUGAUUUUUUUUCCACACUAUUGAAAUAAUUUUUCUGUUUUCCAGGAGCCUGUUCUUAUAUCACAUCCAACCCAAGCACCUUCAAAAUUUAUCAAUCUAAGAAGCUCUUUAUCUAGAAGGUAACAAUGCAAACAUGAAAAAUUUCUGGUGUAUAACAUCCCAUAACUAUUCAUUAGUAGAGCUUCUCUUAUCCUAUUCAUCUUCCAUUCUUCUGUAGGAUUGUACAAAUUGUGCUUGAACAAAGCAGCGAUAAUGACUAUUUGAUGGCAAGGGUUAUCAGAAUAUAUGUUCCCUAUUGGAUAUCUUUUGCUAGAUUGCCUCCACUUACUCUGCGACUCAUUGAUACCUCUGGAAAGAAAGAGAAGAAGCGGCUUCUUGCACGUUCACAUUUGGAAAGGAGUGAGAAGCACCUCUAUGAUAUAAAACACGAUGAAUUGGUUGAGGGAUACACUAUAGCAUCUGGAUUAAAUUUCAAGGGCUUAGGACUUUUAUCAUCUGUGGGUGGACAUGGAGGACAAUUUGGAGCUGUGAAAGAAUUAUCACCUCUUGGUGAUAUGGUUAGUUUGGAUCUUCUUUUAUUUGUAUAUCUUGUUUUGAACCACUUCAAUUUUAAUUACGUUGUUCCUGUCUAUUAAGGAUGGCACGGUUGAUAUUUCUGCCUACGAUGAUGAUGGAAAAUGCAUGCAUAUUCUUCUUUGUUCAAAGCCAUCCUCAUACCAAGCUGUUCCAACAAAGGUAGCUGCAUGCUAAUCUAUAAUUUCAUAUAGAAAGUGUCAAUAAAUUAAUUUCAUGUCAUGACACAACAGGUUAUCAAUGUACGCCCGUACAUAACAUUCACAAACAGGUUAGGACAAGAUUUGUACAUAAAACUUAGUGCUGGAGAUGAGCCAAAGGUUCUACAAGCAUAUGACUGGAGGGUUUCCUUUAUGUACUCUGAGGGUGAUACUGACAAACUGCAGGUACUAUAUCAUUCUCAAUGAUAACACCAUUUAGGUUAAUUGUAUGCUUGAAUUGUUGAUGGAUCCGUUAUUAAAAGUAAAUCACCAUGUUAGUAUUUUCUUUUUAUCAAACCUUUUGUUGUGGUGUCUUUUACGUAAGAGAUUCUGUUGGCCAUUUGGUUCAACUGUCUUUUUCCUGCUCUUUAUAUGCUCAAUGUGGUUUCUGUAUAUUGCAUUGACUGUUGAUCUUUUUUUCUUUAAUUUGCAUUCAUCAGCUUGUUUAUGUCAAUUAUUCUAUGUGAAAAUAUGCAGUUUUUAUAUUUACCUUUCCAAACAUUUAUCUAUCUUGAGAAAUAAGAGUGAUAUGCGUAUGCAUGUGUUACCUUGCACAAUGAGUAAUUGAUGUCAGGUAAGGAUAUCAUUUGGGCUCUGCUCUAAGAAAAUAACACAAUUUUCCGUCAAUGUUACUUUUUGCUGGUUAAAUGAUUUGGAUGAAUAUAUUUGAACUGCAAUUGUCUUCUGCCCUAUUUGAAGGUCCGACUGGCGGAUACAGACUGGUGUCAACCUCUGGAGAUAGUAAAAGAAGACACCAUUGUUAUAGCAAUGAGAAAGCAGGAUGGUACUAUGAAAUUUGUGAAAGCCGAGAUACGCGGCUAUGAGGAAGGUUCAAGAUUCUUGAUUGUAUUCCGUCUGGGGCCAGCAUAUGGGCCAAUCAGGUAGCAUGAAAUGGUAAUAACAACAUGCAGACAUUUGUUUCCCCCUUUUAUGACUAUGGCCAUUGUAUGGUUGCUUGCAGGAUUGAGAACCGGACAAGUAGUACAACAAUCAGUACUCGCCAGUCUGGUUUAGGUGAAGAUACUUGGAUCCAAGUGAAACCACUUUCAACCAGAAAAUAUUCUUUGGAUGACCCAUAUGGACAGAAAGCUAUUGAUGUUAGCAUCCAGAAAGGAGAUGUUGCUUGUGUCCUAUGUGUUGACUUGGAGAACCCUGUUGGAAGUUACACCAGUUUUAGGGAACAUGGCCUCAAGUUCAGUAUAGUUGAGACUAGUGAUAUUAAGAUACUGAAGUUUACCGAUUCCCUAAGAAAAGAGGAAGUAUAUGGAUCGCCUGGAUCUGAACUAAUUGAUCACCAAGCAUCGGCAUUGAAAGAAAACGAGAUAGAGCCAGAUGCCAAGCCCUUGGAGCUUAUUGUUGAACUUGGAGUUGUUGGAAUAUCUUUGAUUGAUCAUAAGCCGAGAGAGCUUUUAUACUUGCAUCUGCAGAAGGUUUUCAUUUCAUACAUGACUGGUUAUGAUUCUGGGACCACUAGCAGGUACGGUUUGCAACUAAUGUUUUGUUUCGUCAACAUCCUGUCCAGACAUGCGCAUGUCUAGAAAUCACCUUUUUCUUCCCUAUGCAAAAGAAAUGCCUUCCAUCACUGGGGGGACACGGGAAUGUUGAGCUACACUUAGUUCUUCACCAUUUCUUGUAUGUCAUAUUCUUGAAGCCACUACCACUGCUCCUUUCCAUUUAUUGGCAUCAUCUUUGGACAACGGUCAAAUACAUAACUGAUGGCAUACCUAUGAACCUAGCUUUAUAGCAUCUCAUUUUACUAAUCAUGGCAUUAUCUGCUCCGAAUCAUCUUUAUUGAUACAUAUAGCGUUUUGCAGGUUUAAGUUAAUUCUUGGCCAGUUGCAAUUAGAUAAUCAGCUGCCACUGUCUACAAUGCCUGUUAUUUUGGCCACUGAGAGCAGGCCUGAUUUAAAUCGUCCUGUGUUCAAAGCAAACAUUGCUGUUGGCAAUGUAACGUCAAACGGCAUUCAAGUUUACCCACAUGUCUAUAUCCGGGUAAUGUUAUUGCUGUGCAUAUUUCAACAAGCAAAUUUAUUUUAUAUCAACCCAUACUGAAAUAAUGAAACUCGUGUUUUCUCCAGGUAAUUAAUGAAGCAUGGAGACUGAAUAUUCAUGAGCCUAUUAUUUGGGCACUAGUUGACUUCUACAGCAAUCUUCGUUUUGUGAGUGCCAGUAGUAGCACAACUGUCACUGAAGUGGAUCCUGAGAUACGAAUAGAGUAAGCUCCUAAGUUGCAGCCACUUUGCCAUCUAAAUUUCUAUAGCAACUGUUAGGCUUUCCUACUUUUUGGACAUACAUUUUUGCAUCUGAAAUUGCUUUGCCGUGUUUCCAAUUUGAUGCAUCCUGUCAUUCAUCAGUAAUUACUGAUGAGAUCUAGUGCUACACUUGUUAUCUAGAUAAUGAUAAAUGCUUUACCCAUCCUGGAAACUAGAAUGAGGAUUCAACCCUAACUUACUACCCUAUUUUUUGAAUGAUUACCAUGUUAUGAAUAGCACCUGUAUUAAUCAUGACGGCUCUAGGCCCGAAUAUAGCCACAUACUAGUGUGUCCAAGUAUACACAAAACCCCUUAUACAACAGGGAAAUUCCUUGAUCAUUCUAGUCACGUGGGAGCUUUGGAUGCAUCGUAAGGAUUGCAUGUUCAAUGGUGCUAGACCAAAUGCCUCAGGGAUUCUACGAAUAGUGGCUGAUGAAAGUUAGUCUUUGGUGUUUAGCUGGAGCCUUGGCACUCCAUGAGCUUCUGCUAUGGUCGCUUACCCCGGAUUCGUAGCCCAUUUAUGGGUGAUCUGGCCAUUUGUAACCUUGGUGUGGCGAGCCUGUAACUCUUUCUCUGGUGUGUUUAGGGAGGGGUCCGUUUUGACCAUUCACUAAGUUUUUUCCUGUGUUGAACUUGCCUUUCUAUUCCUUCUAUAAUGAAAUAAUACAGAGCUCCUCCUGCACGUUUGAGAAAAAAAAAAUGAAAUGAAUGUUCCUGGUAUUUACAAUGGUAAGCUCCAGAUUUGUAUUCUGUGGAUUGCAACCCCUAUAGUUCUCUUAUGUAUGGAGUUUCAUGAUCCUGUCAAAAAUUAUUGUGCGCAAAAGAUCGAUAAGUGGUAUGUUUGUGCACCCUAUAAAGAUGCACAAGUAUUUGCAUAUAGCCAUUUUGGAUUUCUCACAUACCAUUUGGUUUGGUGUAUAAGUCUUCUGCAAUGGUAUAAUUCAACCAGAAAUUACAUGUCACAUAAUAAUUGUAUAAUUUGCAGGCUUGUUGAUAUUUCAGAGAUAAGGCUCAAAAUAUCUCUGGAAACUGCGCCUACUCAAAGACCUCGAGGUGUCCUAGGCGUAUGGAGCCCUGUCCUAUCUGCUGUGGGUAAUGCCUUUAAGAUUCAGGUAACUUGAACUCAGUUUAUGUAUGGAACAUCAUGUUUCAUGGCCAGUGCCUGAUUAACCCAGUUAUAUUAGGUUAGAUUUGCGCAUUUCAUCAGAAUCCAGGAACUUUAGUUUAUGAACUGUGAAAUUAUGCUAAAACAAACAAUAGUUACAAACUCCCCUUCUGCUGGGUCAGGGUACCCACACAUACAUUUUUAGAGUUGUCUGUACUCUCGCUGGUAGGUUCUCUGGUGGAGGACAUUUUUCAAUCAAUAGUUACAAACACAGCAGCCCCUGACAAAUCCAGGUAGAGAUCUGGUUAGCGCACUCCCUAGGAAUUCAGUUCCGCAAUCUUUAUGGUGUUUGGGUGAGGUACAACGUAUGCAGCAUUAGUUCAAAUUGGAACUCCUGAAAGAAUAUGUCCAGUCAGUGCACUACCCUAAAUACCGUACUCAAAAGUUCAGCUUAGUUUUCAUUGGACCUAAACAACUCACCUUAGUGCUGAUAACAGAGGCAAGGUUGAUCUUUUUUUUCCUUUCAUGUCUGCCAGAACUAUUGGGCUAGUCUUAUUUCUGAAUUCUUAAAUAAGAGAUUUAUACUUUGAGUCCAAUGAAAUGUAGUGUCCUCCCUUGAUAUUUGCCUUAGGUACAUCUGCGGAAGGUCAUGCACAGAAGCCGGUAUAUGCGGAAGAGCUCCAUCAUCCCUGCUAUCAUGAACCGAAUCAAGAGAGAUCUGAUCCACAAUCCCCUGCAUCUAAUCUUCUCUGUAGAUUUUCUUGGAGUGACAAAAUCAACUUUAUCAUCACUUAGUAAAGGAUUUGCGGAGCUCUCUACUGAUGGGCAAUUUCUUCAGCUGAGAUCAAAGCAGGUGAAAUAACUUAUAUGGUUUCUUUUAUCCUUGUUUCUGUUGACUCAGUGAAACACUUAAGUGGAAUGUGAUUCAGGUCUGGUCAAGGAGGAUCACUGGUGUUGGCGAUGGACUAAUUCAAGGGACAGAAGCAUUUGCUCAGGGUUUGGCUUUUGGGGUUUCUGGUGUCUUAAGAAAGCCAGUUGAGAGUGCCAGACAGUAUGGUCUUAUAGGCAUUGCUCCUGGUCUUGGCCGUGCUUUUGUAGGUUUCAUUGUACAGCCUUUAAGUGGGGCUCUGGAUUUUUUCUCGCUGACAGUUGACGGAAUUGGUGCUAGUUUUAUGAGAUGCGUCAACAUUCUAAGUAACAAAUCUGUCCCCCAGAGGAUAAGAGAUCCUCGUGCUAUCCACCGAGAUGGUAUAGUAAGAGAGUAUGACAAAGUUGAAGCUGCUGGUCAGGUACUGUGCUUGUUUUCAUAUUGUUCAUUUCUUUUCCUUUUGCCUUUUGAUGACAAAAAUAAAUGUACAAAAGGAUCCACUGAUUCCUGGAAGGCAGGUUGCCAGUCUAAUAUCUAUUAUGAAACUCAAAUAAAACUAAAAAAAAUAGAAAGAAGAGUAAGGUAAACCUAAUGAAUAAGAUGAAGCGUCCUGAAGAUUUUUCAUAUAUGUCAAGAAUUAUUAUGGUUCAUUCUUUAAGGCCCUUUCCUUUAGUACUAGCUGACAUCACAAGCAAGAGACUCAGUCCAUAAGUCCAUAUGAAUCACUUUGACGAACGCUGAAUAAUGCAUUUUUCUAAAUCCAAAUAUGCCAGCAAAACGAAAUUACCAAUUCCUUGGAAAAUGAUUUGUAACUAGUGGCCAGUGGCCUGGCCUGACUUCAACCAGCUUACAAUAUGUCAAAAGUUAUCUAGUCACAAAUACCGUCUAUAUUUUCUUCUCCCAUUUGGAAUCGUGAGAAAGGUCGAGUGAUGCAGAAUUUGUGAAGUGUUCUGUGAGUCAAUCAGGAAAGUUGUACUGUGCACUAAAAUUCUUUACUUGGAAGGAUCCAAUUUAGACGUUAUGGUUACUACAUGAGCAAUCAUAUCAUGCAUUUACAUAGUGAUGUACUUUAGAUUCAAUCCAGCUCUGUUUUAGUUAGACAAAACUUCACCUUUGUUAAAUUGAUCAAGCAUGCAGGCCAAGUUAAAUGGUUCUAAUGGUUCUGAUGCUAAUAUUAUUAGUCAGAAGAGAGUGAUUUUUUGGUAUGCUGGCAACUAAAUUCGAUUACUCUCUGCUUCAGAUGGCCCUUUACCUGGCAGAAGCAAGCAGAUAUUUUGCAUGCACGGAUUUAUUUCGAGAACCUUCUAAGUAUGCAUGGUCUGAUUACUAUGAGGACCAUUUUAUUUUGCCAAACCAGAGGAUCGCUUUAGUAACUAACAAGCGGGUGAUACUGCUUCAGGUGAGGCUUAUUCCUUUCUGAUUGUAUCAUGUUACUUCAAAAAUUUGAUUAAAACUCACAUUCUUCAUUUGUUUAGUGCUUGGAUCUAGAUAAAAUGGAUAAGAAACCUUCCAAAAUACUUUGGGAUGUUCCUUGGGAAGAAGUACUUGCAUUGGAGCUAGCGAAAGCUGGGUAUCAGAGGCCUUCGCAUGUGAUCAUACAUCUAAAAAAUUUCAGGAGGUCUGAGAACUUUGUCAGGCUUAUUAAGUGCAACGUUGAUGAAGACCGUGAACCUCAGGCUCUUUCACUUUGUUCGUCAGUUCGGAAAAUGUGGAGAUCUCACCAGGCAGCAAUGAAAGUUAUACCCUUGAAGGUCCUUUUCCCUGCUCUCCUGAACUGUACCUUUUUUUUUAGAAACCAACUCUCCUGAACUUAACUUGUAUUUCUGAACAAAACCAUAAUAGGUUCCAUCAGGCCAGCGCCAUGUGUAUUUUGCAUCAGAUGAUGAUAAAAGGGAAUCCCACAGUCUUUCUAGGUCUUUGAUAAGCUCGAGAGGAACUUCUAGUGAUGUUGAGCAACGGCUCAUGAACCACACGGUUAACUUCCAGAAAAUGUGGAGCAGUGAACCAGAAAUUCGGAGCCGAUGUAAACUAGUUGCCAAGCAGGUAAUUCAUCACAAUCUGAAUGACUGAAAAAUAUUUUUUUCCCAAAUACCAUCAUGAUGUUAAACAACUGUUGAUGUUUAUUUUAGGUUGCGGAUGAUGGAAGGGUGUUUAGCAUCUGGAGGCCUUUGUGCCCUAAUGGGUAUGAAGCUAGACAAGUCAACGUGUCCCCCUAGUGUAACAUUUUUUUAUGCUGAUGCUGAAGAUACAGAGCGAAUUUAUUUCAGGUAUAUCUCAAUUGGAGAUGUUGCUCAUGUCGGCACCCAUCCACCGCAACUUGCUGCUGUCUACAAAAAUGCCAAUGGAAAUUUUGCACUGCCUCUGGGCUACGACCUGGUCAGUAUUCAAAGGACUUUUUUGUGCCAGAAGCUCUUGGUCAAUGUUGAGCUUAUACUAAAAUAGUAUAACUGUUUUGUUACUUUUAUGCUAAUAAAUUUAUUAAUUUUAUGGCAGUUCAUUGUUACUAGUCGAGCGCACGCUCAUAUUUGCUUUGCGUGCAGGUUUGGAGAAACUGUGCUGAGGAUUACAAGAGUCCUGUAUCAAUAUGGCUUCCAAGGCCACCUGGCGGCUACGUAGCUCUUGGGUGCGUUGCUGUGUCCGCUUUUGAGGAGCCCCCUCUUGACUGUGCUUUCUGCGUGGAUGAGAGACUCGCAGAGGCUGCCGAGUAUGAGGAGCAAAUCAUAUGGGCAUCAGCAGAUGCCUACCCAUGGGGAUGCUACAUCUACCAAGUUCAGAGCAGCUCACUGCAGUUCAUGGCACUUCGUGUCUCAAAAGAACAGUCUGAGCAGAGGCCCAAGAAGAUAGUGGAGUCGCUUAUGCAGCGAGCACCAGCGACUCCGCGACAAGAAAAGCAAACAUGACGUGCAUGAAAGAGGAUGUACAUAAUACAUAUACGUGCGUGCAAGAAAACUCGGCUGGGGCAGAGUUGGACCAGCGUUCUCGUGCACGAAAGCUCGAAGAAAGCCGCAUCUUUCAGACCGCUCUUCGUCUCUCCGUGGUCAGAGCAUACACACAACCCUUUUGUCUGGGUGUAAAUGUUGUAAACUACCAGUAGUAGGUUCAGGUCAAACGUUGUAAGUUGUAAAUGCCAAAUUUUGUAACGCUCGUCACAGUUUUUGUCCAGCCUUGGACGAUUAAGCAUGCUUUUUUUUUUGUGGGUGAAUGAUUAUGAAUUGUGAGGUUCUCGCUCUACAUUUUGUUGCCGUCUGAAUUUGCAGCUGUGCCCUUUUGCUAGGGAGUGCAGAGAGAAUGGUAGAGCUGAUUCAACACACAACAGUAACCUCAUAUGGAUAUGCCCACCAAUCUAGUGAAAAUUAUUGCAACCAGUAGUCUAAAAGUUUCUGGCAACAUGUUGUGCCAACCCUGGAACUUUGAAGCAACCAAACAAUGCAAUCUGCCAUUGCGCGCACCCUCACUGCGCGCCAUCACCGAUCCAGGGGGUGCCACUCCCCGGGCGAGCUCCCGGUCGACCAAGAUUUUUUGACAGGAGCUUGUUGGAAUCUUGGAGAUAAGCACGCGGCACGACGCCUGAUGGACGUGCCACACCGGUGCUUGACAGUGGCGUUCGGGAUCAGAUCAGGCGACGGCUCGUCUCGUCUGUCGUCUCGCAUGCAUGCACCCACGCGCCUGCGGAGGAGCGCUUCGUCGAGGAGCCAACACGUUGCAUCGCUUCCCCCCGUUCAAUGCAGCAGCGAGGCAACGGCUGCCCGCGCCGCGCAGGUUUGGCACGCAAACGCCGCCGUGGGAACCGACGGGGACGGCCGGUGGUUGUGGUCCAUGGCGAGGCGGACACCGGAGGGAGAAACAAAGACCGUGACUCGAUCCUGUGGGGGCAUGGAAAGCAGACCACUGUUGGUAUCUAGAUAUGCGAGUCUCCAGCAUGGAAAUAUCGGCUGCAGGGAGAGAUAUUUCGUGAGGUGCUUUCUCUUUUAUUUCGCCGAGCGAGGACUCAGCUGGAAAUUCGGUCAGCUCGACAGUUGGUUCACAUCUUUCAAUUUUUUUAAAAAAAUUAUACACAAGAACUACAAGCUGUGCAUCUCCAAGAUUCCUAAAACCUAUACCCAGAACUAGAUUUUUGGCGUGAUUCUAACACUCUUGGAGAUGUGCUCUAAGAGUACUUUAUUUUGUUAUACUCUAUGUUUCAAAUUAUAGUUAUUUUAGCUUCAUCCUAAAUUAAACUAAAUUUAUAAAAAAGAUACACAAAUAUCUACAACAACAAACUAGUUUUAUUAAACGUUCCAUGAAACUUGUUUUAUUAAACGUUCCAUGAAAUACGUUUUAAUCGUGCAUUUAUUGUGAUAGUACAGAUGUUAAAUACUUUUUUUUAUAAAACGCACCUAAAAUUUAAAACGCACUACUUGUCAUCUUACUCAAUAGCGAGCCAUGAUCAUUGAUCAAAUAGUGAAGUCAACAGCAAGAAUGUUAGACCAUGGUGUACGUAAAAAAGCUUCUCUUGGCAUAAGCUUCUCUUGGCAUAUCUUAGGUGGUUAUGGUGGUUAUGGUGAACCUGUCAAUCAGCUCGAGUUCUCGACUUGACACUCGACUUGAAGUGCUUGUAUUUUUUUGGAUUAUUCUUGGAUUUAACUGGUCGCCUGCACUAUUCUUUUACUAUUCUUUCAGUAGUAAUUCUUUCAGUAGUAGGCGCCUGCACUAUUCUUUCAGUAGUAGGCGACGACGUGCCCGUCGAGGCGCUAAUGAUGGCUUCGUCAAUCUCGAGGAUCUGCCUGCUCAGUCUCUCGGAGGUGAUCAUAAGGAUAUGGUUGCGUGCGUGUGUUCGUAGGGGCGAGUGUGCAUGCGUGUAAGAAAUUGAAGCUUCUCUUUGACUUCACAAUUUUUUUAAAAGAAAACAGAUUUUCCAUUUAAAAAUUGAAACCCGUAGGGAAAGCAAGCUUCUAACUGCGGGGGUCUUUUCUUUAAAAAUGACAAUUCUUUUUUAAGCUAAUGUUUAAAGAUGAGCAUGGAGUUGCACUUUAUCAAAUUAUUACACAGGGUCCACUUGACACUUGUGAUAGUCUUCUUUUUUUCCCUCGUUACUUCAAUGAAAAAGUCUUUUUUUAAAAAUAGAAAAAUGAAGUGGACGCAACAGAGGAGACAAGUGAAUAGUCGGUGUGCGCAACAAGAGCCACAAACACAGACCGGAAGACGGGGCCCCAAAGGUCACCGGAGCCGGGGCCCGCGGGCCAAACCUGGCAACAGAAAAGCGCGCAAGAAACCAAAAGCCUAGGGCGAGAGCAGGCGAGCAGCUCGGGCCCGCCGUCCGGAAACAUGGGGUGGAGGUGGCGCGGCGACGGGCGGGGCGCGGAUAAGGCCGCCAUGGCAGCCACGCGUUUGCUCUUGGUGGCCGCGCGCGGCCGCGUCACCACCAGCUCAUCGCCUCACGCCGCGGCACAAGACCACAAAGUAAUCCUAGGGAUCCGAGGAGCUCCCCGUGCUGUAGGGCCUUGGAGCCUCAUGCAUGUGUUGCAGGAGAGCGUGACUAUAGUCCGUGUAGGAUUUGUCGGGUGUUGGUUUGUUAAACAUCAUCAUCAUCAUAUUGACCAUCAGUAAGAAUCAUCUACGUGUGGCUGUACAAGGCUCUGUCAGUAGUUUUCUUUGUUUAAUGGUCAGUUGAUCACGUUGACCUGUACAAGGCUCCGUGUAGGAUUUGUCAGCCUAUUUUUACUGUAACCAUCUGAUAAAAACGAGCAGCUGAGAAAACGAACGCAUGUGUUUUCUCCCCCAAAAGAAAAAGAAAAAACCACCCGUUCGCAUAUUCGCAUGUGUGAACAGCUGUAAACUAUAGUGGAAUAGCAUUCGAACAGGACAAAUCCGGAGAAAGGACGGGCAUGAUGGCAGCAGCACCGUAGGAGGUUUGCUGGUAGGUCGUUUACGUCCGCGUGUGUGCUGACUCACUCGCGUCUAGGCUCGUUGCCCCCGAUUCCCCGAAGGCGCAAGCCUCCAAACCGACCGCGCACCAAGGCUGGAGUGGCUGUCCAUCUUUACACGCGUUCUCCGUCUCGUCUACCAAGUCCGGACCUCACCGUGCUCCAAGGCCUUCUCCAUCCACAUUUCACCAUUCCUACUGUUAUUUUGAUUUUUGAGUAAAACAGAAAAUGCACUGAACGCGUCAAAAAAGGAAAAUAAAAUGGAAAUACGGCAAGUUGCACGAGGGAUUCAUCCGGGGCCAUGAAUCCUCCCAUUGGUCGCGUGCCAUGCCAAAAGCACAAGACAGGGUCCGCAACCACCUUUGCCUUGGACCGGCCCCCGCGCAGCCCGGCAGGACCCGGGCCGCACUGCCAGCCUCACGGGGGCGAUGGGCCUGAGCGCGGUUUGAACACGUCAACCCGCGCGCCACGCCAGGCGGAUAAUACUUUUCUUAUCCGUUGCCAAGCCUUUCUCCUCGCAGCCUGGGAGCCAAGUGAAAGAAGCGCCGACGUGGCGCGCCUGCCCGUCCACGCGCUGCAGUACUAGCACGCAUCUGGAUCUCCGAUAGCGUCGUGGAUCUCGUGCUACACUAAUCACACUCCCUAAUCCGCUUGUGGCUGGGUGAGCACAACGCUGGUUUAGCUCAGCAGCUUGUCGCCCGCCACGUCAGGCAUGGUACUGUACGGGUCGUGUAUUCUGAUACUGCCGUAUUAUACAUGCGAGUACGCGAUCGAUAAGUGUUUAAGCAGGGCAGGAGCAUUUAUCUGUUGCCUAAUGAGACAAAUUAAAUGAAUAAUUUGGAUAAGACCACCAGCGCCGCCCAUCAGGCAUCAGCAGCAGCAGGCAACGGAACGGAUAGAUAGGCUGAUGCAAUCUUCAGUCUCCAACUAGCUCGCGUCCAUUUUAUAUUUAGUCCUAAUCCUGAUCGCUGAUCAUUCUAUUAGCGAUAAGCACCCGUGCCAUCCGUCGCCGUCAAGGCACCGCCGGCGAUUCCUCUAUAAAUACAGAGCCCAACCCACGCCGAGCCUCUCCUCCCAUUUCCCCCAUCCCAUUUGCCCAGCCUUUGCAAACGAGUUGAAAUCAAAUCAUCUUGUUCAAAUCCUCCCCUUCCUCUUCCUCUCUCGCCAAGCGCAAGCACCUCUCUUCCUCUCUUGCAGCCUUGCUGAUUUGUUGGUCGGUUCGUCCCUGAUCCAAAAGGCAGAACCAUGGCGCUCACGCUGCGUUCCACCACGUCCUUCCUGUCGCCUGUCGACCCCAAUUCCAAGCUCCUCCACAAGCCGGGCGCCGACGACGCGCCGCCGAGCUGCGCCGCCGUGCCGGCCCCGUCCCACGCCGCCGCGCCGAGCCGCAGGCUGCGCCUCGUCAGGGCGGCCGCGGCGGCGGCGCCCGCGCCGGCGAUGGACCGCGCGCCGGCCGAGGCCGCCGAGCUGCUGCACGGCGGCGCAGCGGGCCAGGACCACGGGCGGCCCCGCGGCGGGGUCCCUGUGUACGUGAUGCUGCCGCUGGACACGGUGGGGCCCGGCGGCCAGCUGUCGCGGCAGCGCGCGGUGGCGGCGAGUCUGAUGGCGCUGCGGGGCGCCGGGGUGGAGGGCGUCAUGGUGGACGUCUGGUGGGGCGUCGUGGAGCGGGAGGGACCCGGGCGCUACGACUGGGAGGCCUACGCCGAGCUCGUGCGCAUGGUGGAGCGCGCCGGCCUGCGGCUCCAGGCCGUCAUGUCCUUCCACCAGUGCGGCGGCAACGUCGGCGACACCUGCAAGUAAGCCAUCUCCAUCCCAUUAGCCCUGUGCUCUCGUAGCGGUAGCAAUCCCGCAGAUCAAUUAGCUACUGUCUUUCAUCAAAAAGAUAAAUUGGCUACUAGAUUUGUGGGAACUGAACUCAUGAUGCUUCAGACAGUUCAGAGUUCAGACUCCAGUGCGAAACGGGAUUCACUGCGUUCUUUCAGUUUUUUUAGGAGCCAAUUGAUGUGCGUAGCUUCAAGGGGGUGUCCACAAAAUUAGGCUAACAAGUUAGGCCCACACGGGGGUUACUAGGUUAAUCCUCCACUAAACUAGACGAUUAGAGCCCUUAAUCAAAACUUGCCCCCUUUUUUUUCCUUUGGUGAUCCCUUCCCUUGCACGCAAGGGCUUGGUAUGGCUCGGCCGGCAAGCAAUCAGUUUUGUCCAAGUGCUUCUUUCUGUCUUGAGAAGGCAAGCACAAGUGGCAAAAGAAAGGUUAAAGCCUUAAAGGUGUGAGAUGAAUAGAUGAUUGAGUAGUUACUAACAGAGCAGAGAUGUUGCUACCACUGGAAUUGAAGGGAAAAGAUCCAUAGAUUAAUUCCCCAAUCAUCGGUUUGUACUGACCGUUAACAGCUAACCAAUUGCCUGAUUUGGUUGACAUGAUUGAGUAGUUGAUAGAUGCUCCUCUGAUUGAUGCUAGGUCUCUGGCUAAAUAACUUUGAACAGUUUUAUCUGUUGCUGGUACUCUUUUAUUGACGUUUGUUGCUCUGACGACGUUUGCAGCAUCCCCUUGCCGCCAUGGGUGCUGGAGGAGAUGAGCAGCAACCCGGACAUCGUGUACACGGACAGGUCCGGCCGCCGGAACCCCGAGUACAUCUCCCUCGGCUGCGACACGCUGCCGGUGCUCAAGGGCCGGACACCCAUCCAGGUCUACGCCGACUACAUGCGCAGCUUCCACGACAGGUUCCGUGACUACCUCGGCAACGUCAUUGCGGUAAUCAUCAAUUAACCUGCCCAUUUCUUAUUGACCACUGGAUAUUGCAAUAGCACUUGAGCAUGAUGCUGUGAUCUUAAGACUAAACCACCUGUGUAUCGUUGUUGCAGGAGAUCCAAGUGGGCAUGGGGCCCUGUGGAGAGCUGAGGUAUCCUUCCUACCCAGAGGCCAACGGAACAUGGCGUUUCCCGGGCAUCGGCGAGUUCCAGUGCUAUGAUAAGGUAAGAAACAAUCAAACAAUACAAAUACACUUGAUAAGUGUUAGUCUUUGCAAUUGUCGAUGGACGUUUGCUGAAUUGUUGUGCGUUUUUGUCGGUGCAGUACAUGCGGGCGUCGCUCGAAGCAGCGGCGGUGGCGGCGGGGCACGAGGAGUGGGGCAGGGGCGGGCCGCACGACGCCGGCGAGUACAAGCAGAUGCCCGAGGAGACGGGCUUCUUCCGGCGCGACGGCACGUGGAGCACUGAGUACGGCCAGUUCUUCCUGGAGUGGUACUCCGGCAUGCUCCUGGAGCACGGCGACCGCGUCUUGGCCGCAGCCGAUGCCGUGUUCGGCGGCACGGGCGCCACGCUCUCGGCCAAGGUCGCCGGAAUCCACUGGCACUACGGGACCCGGUCGCACGCGGCGGAGCUCACGGCCGGGUACUACAACACGCGGCACCACGACGGGUACGCGCCCAUCGCGCGCAUGCUGGCCAAGCGCGGUGCCGUGCUCAACUUCACGUGCAUGGAGAUGAAGGACGAGCAGCAGCCGCAGCACGCCAGCUGCUCGCCCGAGCAGCUCGUGCAGCAGGUCAAGGCCGCUGCCAGCGCCGCCGGGGUGGAGCUCGCCGGCGAGAACGCGCUGGAGCGGUACGACGAAGCGGCGUUCUCGCAGGUGGUGUCAACGGCGCGCGGCGCGGGGCUGGCGGCGUUCACGUACCUGCGGAUGAACAAGGCGCUCUUCGACGGCGACAACUGGCGGGAGUUCGUGUCCUUCGUCCGGGCCAUGGCCGACGGCGGCGCGAGGCCGGCGCUGCCGCGGUGCGACACGGGGCACUCGGACCUGUACGUCGGGUUCCUCGACGCCGCCAAGGAGAGGAAAGCGCCGGAGGCCGAGGGCGCCGCCACCGCCGUGGCAUUGUAGGCCAAGGGUGGUGCCCCCAUGCCUGUGCGUGCGGACACACACACCGUGCUGUUGUGUAUGUGUAUGGUACGUGCAGCGGCGAAGGGGGGAACUGUAUAGAUUCAGGGGGCUUGCAGGUUGCAGAGUUUUAUAGGCUGUAAUCGAGCAGGUAGGUAAGCAGGCAGGCAAUGUGCAGAAGCCUAGGCUGUCUUCUGUUCCUUUGUUCAUUCGAAACUGUAUUAUAAGGAGCAGCUUCGUGACUGUACACCGUGUCGGGAAUUCAGCUGAAAAGAACUUGCAAUGCCAAUACUACUAAUUAGACUCUUUUUACGGGCUUGUGCAAAUAUUUUCAGAGUGACUGCAAAUUUUAUAGAAUUCAUACGAAAUUCUCGCAUUUCAAGAGAAAGGAGGCACAUAUGCCCAUAUCUGAACAUGCGCACCUCUCUCUCUGUUGCUGAUAGCCGAUUUCCCUCGUGAAGCACUUGACUGGGCCAAAGCUG
This 38345-nucleotide long non-coding RNA is filed under the name Setaria italica (foxtail millet). RNAcentral's name for it is "long non-coding RNA (SITA_LNC006983)". Lineage: Eukaryota; Viridiplantae; Streptophyta; Magnoliopsida; Poales; Poaceae. The record is from RNAcentral.